GGCCUCGUAGCUCAGUUGGCUAGAGCGUUGCUGCGCCGAAGCCUUUCCUUGCUGACGUGGGUUCGAAUCUCACCGAGGUCG
This 81-nucleotide transfer RNA is filed under the name Schistocephalus solidus. It matches the Rfam family "tRNA". Rfam says of the family: Transfer RNA (tRNA) molecules are approximately 80 nucleotides in length. Their secondary structure includes four short double-helical elements and three loops (D, anti-codon, and T loops). The record is from Rfam by way of RNAcentral. Lineage: Eukaryota; Metazoa; Platyhelminthes; Cestoda; Diphyllobothriidea; Diphyllobothriidae.